This 438-nucleotide ribosomal RNA is filed under the name uncultured eukaryote. RNAcentral's name for it is "SSU rRNA". It matches the Rfam family "Eukaryotic small subunit ribosomal RNA", at positions 592 to 1018 of the family's 1831-position model. The record is from RNAcentral.
CAAUAGCGUAUAUUAAAGUUGUUGCGGUUAAAAAGCUCGUAGUUGGAUUUCUGUUGAGGACGACCGGUCCGCCCUCUGGGUGAGUAUCUGGCUUGGCCUCGGCAUCUUCUUGGAGCACGUAGCUGCACUUGACUGUGUGGUGCGGUAUCCAGGUACUUUUACUUUGAGGAAAUUAGAGUUGUUUCAAGCAGGCAUACCGCCUUGAAUACAUUAGCAUGGAAUAAUAAGAGUAGGGCCUUGGUUCUUAUUUUGUUGGCUUCUAGAGCCGAGGUAAUGAUUAAUAGGGAUAGGUUGGGGGCUAUUUGUAAUUUAACUGUCAGAGGUAGAAAUUCUUGGUAUUUAGUUAAAGACAGACUACUGACGAAAGCUAUUUGCCAAGGAUUGUUUUCAUUGAUCAAGAAACGAAAGGUUAGGGGAUCGAAGACGAUCAGAUACCGU